AUAUGAGGUCUGGCCUGCCCACUGAAUAAAAUUUAAAGGGCCGCGGUAUAUUAACCGUGCGAAGGUAGCAUAGUCAAUAGUCUCUUAAUUGGAGGCUUGAAUGAACGGUCGGACAUGAAGAGAGCUGUCUUAGCUUAGGAGAGUGAGUUUAACUUUUGUGUGAAAAGGCAUUAAUGAGUCAGGGGGACGAUAAGACCCUAUAAAACUUAAUAUUUUAUCAUUGAGUAUUUGAUGUGGGAGUAAAGAAGGCGUAGUGAUGUGUAUUGUGCUGGGGCGGCAAAAAUAAAAUUUGUAACUGUUUAGAUAUUGAAAUAGUGAUAAUUAGAUUUUGACCCUGAAUUUCGGGUUAAAAGAUUAAGUUACUUUAGGGAUAACAGCGUUAUUUCUCUUGAGAGUUCAUAUCGACAGAGAUAUUUGCGACCUCGAUGUUGAAUUAAAGCUUUUUCCGGGAGUAGAAAUUCGGGUGAAUAGGUCUGUUCGACCUUUAAAGUUUUACAUGAUUUGAGUUCAAACCGGUGUGAGCCAGGUUG
This 530-nucleotide ribosomal RNA is filed under the name Alpheus pontederiae. RNAcentral's name for it is "partial 16S ribosomal RNA". It matches the Rfam family "Bacterial large subunit ribosomal RNA", at positions 1845 to 2633 of the family's 2925-position model. Lineage: Eukaryota; Metazoa; Arthropoda; Malacostraca; Decapoda; Alpheidae. The record is from RNAcentral.